UACGAAGGGGGCUAGCGUUGCUCGGAAUCACUGGGCGUAAAGCGCACGUAGGCGGAUUGCUAAGUCAGGGGUGAAAUCCUGGAGCUCAACUCCAGAACUGCCUUUGAUACUGGCGAUCUCGAGUCCGGGAGAGGUGAGUGGAACUGCGAGUGUAGAGGUGAAAUUCGUAGAUAUUCACAAGAACACCAGUGGCGAAGGCGGCUCACUGGCCCGGUACUGACGCUGAGGUGCGAAAGCGUGGGGAGCAAACAGG
This 253-nucleotide ribosomal RNA is filed under the name uncultured bacterium. RNAcentral describes it as "partial 16S ribosomal RNA". It matches the Rfam family "Bacterial small subunit ribosomal RNA", at positions 524 to 776 of the family's 1533-position model. The record is from RNAcentral.